AGCGAACGCUGGCGGCAGGCCUAACACAUGCAAGUCGAACGAACCUUUCGGGGUUAGUGGCGGACGGGUGAGUAACACGUGGGAACGUGCCUUUAGGUUCGGAAUAACUCAGGGAAACUUGUGCUAAUACCGAAUGUGCCCUUCGGGGGAAAGAUUAAUCGCCUUUAGAGCGGACCGCGUCUGAUUAGCUAGUUGGUUGAGGUAAUGGCUCACCAAGGCGACGAUCAGUAGCUGGUCUGAGAGGAUGAUCAGCCACAUUGGGACUGAGACACGGCCCAAACUCCUACGGGAGGCAGCAGUGGGGAAUCUUGCGCAAUGGGCGAAAGCCUGACGCAGCCAUGCCGCGUGAAUGAUGAAGGUCUUAGGAUUGUAAAAUUCUUUCACCGGGGACGAUAAUGACGGUACCCGGAGAAGAAGCCCCGGCUAACUUCGUG
Molecule: ribosomal RNA, 434 nt
Filed under: uncultured bacterium
Lineage: Bacteria
Description: partial 16S ribosomal RNA
Rfam family: Bacterial small subunit ribosomal RNA
Source: RNAcentral